This 106-nucleotide microRNA precursor is filed under the name Nicotiana sylvestris (wood tobacco). Its description in RNAcentral is "MIR6152 microRNA precursor family". It matches the Rfam family "MIR6152 microRNA precursor family". The record is from Rfam by way of RNAcentral. Lineage: Eukaryota; Viridiplantae; Streptophyta; Magnoliopsida; Solanales; Solanaceae.
UGGACAGAUUAUUGUAUUCAACUAUAUUUGACUGUAUUCACGGCGUGAAACGGGAGAUUACACUGUUUUUAAACGGAAAGUAAAUCAAUUAACAUAAUAGACUCCU